UUUCAUAUUGCUCAUGUUUUAUUUUGUUGCACAAUAUAUGGUUUAGCUUAUGUAACUCUUAAACUCGUUCGCACACUUAAAAUGCUUUUCAAAUUCUGUUUACCUCUAUUUGUUAUUGCCCUUACUUUUUGAAUGAUUCUUUGUGAAUGAUUCUUUAACUUGCAGCUUCUUUCUUUGUGAUUGAUAGCCUAUUAUCAAAUUUUGCCAUGCCCUGCUACACUUUCUGCUUGAUGACUAUGUUUCUUC
Molecule: long non-coding RNA, 246 nt
Filed under: Lathyrus oleraceus (garden pea)
Lineage: Eukaryota; Viridiplantae; Streptophyta; Magnoliopsida; Fabales; Fabaceae
Description: Pisum sativum (pea) long non-coding RNA (PSAT_LNC015857)
Source: RNAcentral